CGAGGAUGGAGAUUUCGGUCUCAUCCUGGCCGACCUGAAAUCCGCGUGCUUCCUUCCGACGUGUUCAGAAGACCCAGAGGGGAAAGACCCGAUGGUCGGAGAGAACGGAAGCGGCGCGGCUCCAGGCUCGGAUGAGGCAGCGGGUGAAAAGGGGCGUAAGUUCUGAGGGUGACUUGGGUUAGAUCUCUUGCGAGAGAUUUUUUUUUUAUGUUUCGGCCUUGAAUGGCCUUGUUUGUAUUUCGGGACUGGCCGUGUGUGGCUUUGAAUCCUUGCCGCUCCGCGGCUUUCUUUUUAUAGUACGAUAAUCGGAUAACGCUUUUUUAUGAGUUUGUGAAUAGUGGGGAGGAAGGUGAUGAGUUGUCGUCUCAUAUCCUUCUUCGAUUGUGAAAUGUUUCAUUCGAGAUCUGUUUCGAGAGUUCUUCCGCGAGAUGUGAACUCUGCGGGGGUGCUGAAGGUGUCGAACAUAAACAUAGGGGCAUGGUUUAAGAAUCUCUUAUCUUUCGAUAUCAUGUCUUUGAGAUGUUAGAGACCAGUGCGCUGGGUUUAGGGCAAGACCUAGGUUUACUUUCGGUUUAAGGAUUGUGCGGUGACUAACCGGCUAUCGUUUUUUCCUGUCG
Molecule: long non-coding RNA, 617 nt
Filed under: Brassica rapa (field mustard)
Lineage: Eukaryota; Viridiplantae; Streptophyta; Magnoliopsida; Brassicales; Brassicaceae
Description: long non-coding RNA (BRAP_LNC008957)
Source: RNAcentral